RNAcentral lists this non-coding RNA (212 nucleotides) under Proteiniborus sp. RNAcentral describes it as "T-box sequence". It matches the Rfam family "T-box leader". From Rfam's summary of the family: Uncharged tRNA acts as the effector for transcription antitermination of genes in the T-box leader family. Lineage: Bacteria; Bacillati; Bacillota; Clostridia; Eubacteriales. The record is from RNAcentral.
AUAUUUGCGUUGAAGAGAAGUAGUAGGCUAUGAAGUUGCUUUUAGAGAGUCGUUGGCUGGUGAAAAACGAUAGCAAUAGUAACCGAACUCGUCUCCGAGCUAUUAGAGUGAAGUAUAUUAGCUCUAGUCGGAUAAAUCCGUUAAAAUUAUUGAGUGGAUAGUAAGCAUUUUACUAUCAAUUAGAGUGGUACCGCGAACCUUUCGUCUCUAUA